GAUGAACGCUGGCGGCGUGCUUAACACAUGCAAGUCGAACGGAAAGGCCAGUGCUUGCACUGGUACUCGAGUGGCGAACGGGUGAGUAACACGUGGGUGAUCUGCCCUGCACUUCGGGAUAAGCCUGGGAAACUGGGUCUAAUACCGGAUAGGACAAUGGUUUGGAUGCCGUUGUGGAAAGUUUUUUCGGUGUGGGAUGAGCUCGCGGCCUAUCAGCUUGUUGGUGGGGUAAUGGCCUACCAAGGCGUCGACGGGUAGCCGGCCUGAGAGGGUGUACGGCCACAUUGGGACUGAGAUACGGCCCAGACUCCUACGGGAGGCAGGAGUGGGGAAUAUUGCAAAAUGGGCGCAAGCCUGAUGCAGCGACGCCGCGUGGGGGAUGACGGCCUUCGGGUUGUAAACUCCUUUCGCUAGGGACGAAGCGUAUUUGUGACGGUACCUGGAGAAGAAGCACCGGCUAACUACGUG
RNAcentral lists this ribosomal RNA (468 nucleotides) under uncultured bacterium. RNAcentral describes it as "partial 16S ribosomal RNA". It matches the Rfam family "Bacterial small subunit ribosomal RNA", at positions 28 to 507 of the family's 1533-position model. The record is from RNAcentral.